RNAcentral lists this ribosomal RNA (237 nucleotides) under uncultured bacterium. RNAcentral's name for it is "partial 16S ribosomal RNA". It matches the Rfam family "Bacterial small subunit ribosomal RNA", at positions 15 to 244 of the family's 1533-position model. The record is from RNAcentral.
GAUCCUGCUCAGGAUGAACGCUAGCUACAGGCUUAACACAUGCAAGUCGCGGGGCAGCAUGAAGUCAGCUUGCUGACUUUGAUGGCGACCGGCGCACGGGUGAGUAACGCGUAUCCAACCUGCCUGUUACCACGGCACAGCCCGUCGAAAGGCGGAUUAAUGCCGUAUGUGGUCCUUUGCGGGCAUCUAAUUAGGACUAAAGGUUCGGCGGUAACGGAUGGGGAUGCGUCCGAUUAG